UCGUGAGAUGUUGGGUUAAGUCCCGCAACGAGCGCAACCCUUGCCCUUAGUUGCCAGCAUUUCGGAUGGGAACUCUAAGGGGACCGCCGGUGACAAACCGGAGGAAGGUGGGGAUGACGUCAAGUCAUCAUGGCCCUUAUGACCAGGGCUACACACGUGCUACAAUGGGCGGUACAGAGGGUUGCCAAGCCGUGAGGUGGAGCCAAUCCCUGAAAGCCGUUCGUAGUCCGGAUCGGAGUCUGCAACUCGACUCCG
Molecule: ribosomal RNA, 255 nt
Filed under: uncultured bacterium
Lineage: Bacteria
Description: partial 16S ribosomal RNA
Rfam family: Bacterial small subunit ribosomal RNA
Source: RNAcentral